UCCUGUUAUAAUAUUUGAUCUUGG
RNAcentral lists this non-coding RNA (24 nucleotides) under Cricetulus griseus (Chinese hamster). The record is from RNAcentral. Lineage: Eukaryota; Metazoa; Chordata; Mammalia; Rodentia; Cricetidae.